Herpailurus yagouaroundi (jaguarundi) is the source of this 5744-nucleotide long non-coding RNA. RefSeq lists it as uncharacterized. The record is from RefSeq and is a predicted model, not a curated record. The transcript is spliced from 2 exons. Lineage: Eukaryota; Metazoa; Chordata; Mammalia; Carnivora; Felidae.
GGCUCAACAGCUGUCCCCUUCCAUGCAGGAGACACAGCUCCACCCCACCUCGAUUCUCCUGGGUCCCAGAGUCUUGCCUGGGAAGGCCUGGCCGCCAGGACUGGACGUGCAGCUGGGAACAGGGCGGAGAGAGUUGGGACCCCGGGCAUCACAGGCCCGCACAGCCCGCUUGUUCUGGUGCCCAGCCUCAUUUUACAGAGGAGCAAACUGAGGCCCCGAGAGGUGGAGGGACUCACCCAAAGUCACACAGCCAGUGAGCGAGUGGCUGGGAGCUCUGUGUCUCCUGUACCCCGGUUGUGGAUCUGCCUUGUUUGACAGCCGUGGGGGCUGACACUACCCUCAAUGUCGUGUCCGGCCCAUGGCCUCCUCGGGGCCCGGCACAGGUUGUGGCACAUAGAAGGUGCUCAAUAAAUGCCUACAGCGUGAUGGAGGGCUCUGUCCCCCUCGGCUCACCUCUUGGCAGAGUCGUCAGGGUAGGGAAGAGCGGGGGUGAGGGAGUAAAAUGGGGGCUGCCUUUGCCUUUGAGGGCUGGAGGCUGUGAGAGGCUAGAACCCAAAUUUUUCUGGGGGCCUCAGGAAUCCCCUCUCUGCACCCUAAGGUGGCUCGGCCUUUUCCCCGGAGACACGUGUGCCACUUGAUGACCCUGGAGCUGGGCCGGGCCCAAAUGUUGGCUGCACAAGCCAUUUCUGGGGGGGCACAGAGAACCCGGGAGUGAUCGGUAUUGGCUGCCGCUGGGCUAGGUGGCCAGGCCCGUGGAGGGCCUCGACCAUCUCUGCUCCUUCUCUCGUUCUGGUUGCCUUGCCCCAGUUUAGGCUUCUUCCUGCCACUGCUGAGUACAGGCUUAGCAAUUUGCCACCUGCUGCUCCAGCCACCCAGGACUCUAGCCACAGCCCCGCCAUCGAUCAGGUUACCCCAGCAGCCCGGGCUGCCCCGGCUGCCGCUGCCAGCCAGCUCGUGCCCCCAUCUUCUCCAACGGGGGCUGCGGGUCCCACAGGCCCCUCCCAGGAGGCCCUCCCCGCCGGCCCGUGCCGAAGCCUGCGAGGCUGGAGGGCCCUGGCCCUGCCAGGGAGAUCAGAUCCUCUCGGCCACCUGCUGUUUUCAUUAGAAACUAAAAUUAGCUGGGCUUGUCCCAAGCUUUUCCAGGUUUGCUUGCUUUUUAAAAAAAAUAUACAAAUUCCUAGAGAAAAAUCCGCACCUCUGCGCCUCCUCUCAGCUCUUACCCUGCGCGUCAAGAGGAGAGGAGACGGGAAAUAGCUGGAGCGUUUGGGAGGCCAAGCAGAUCAGUGUCGUGGGUCCUGGCCCCGCGGGUAUCCAGGUGGGGGCUGGGACGCCAGCCCAGGCCUCUCUGCCCCCUCCCUCUGGCCUCCCUGCCUGCCUGGGCCACAUUUAGAGCCUCCUCAGGAGUGGCAGUGCCUGGGACACCAGGGAGGAAGGAGGCCAAGCGGGCGGGAGGAGGAGCCGGAAGGAACCGGAGUGCCUGCCGAACAGUGAGCCGCCUGGGGAGACACGGCCGCGUGAAGGCAAGCAUGCCACGGGUCCCACCCAGGACCACGUUCUCUCCGGGGGUGGCCAGCACCUGGCUCCCCGGGUCCCCAUCAUGCCCCUCAGCUGUUCUCGGGCCUCCGGAUGUUUCUGCACCCACGGUCUCUGAAUCCCGAGGCCCUGUCCUGGAGACCUAUCAUUUCGCACGGCCCACAGGGUGGCACACUGUGCGAGAGAGAUGGCAGACUGGGUCAGAAUCCCAGCUCUGUGUUCCCGGAGGCAGGUUAGCGAGCAUCUCUGAACCUCAGUGUCUUCAUCUGCUGUAGAAUGGGGAGAAUAAUAGUUCUCACCUCAAGAGACAUCAACGGAUUAAAUGUUCACAUAGUAGCCACUGCUCCCCGGUUGGCAACAUUACCAAGUCCUAUUGAUCAUCACUGUGGUCAUUAAGGUGUUUACCGUCAUCACCUUCAUCAUCACUGCCACCUCAAAGCCCCUGCGCAGUCCCUCGAGCUGGGCCCUCUGCUGGACUGCAGAACAGUCCUGUUCACUGGUCUUCUUUUGCUCGGCUCUUUUAGACGGGGGUUCACCAGCCUGAGGGAAAGACACACCCCCACUGGGAAGGGCAGACACUUCGGCCUCCAUCCCCACUGCAGAGCUUGGACACAGCUUGCUCCGAUGGAGCACGCAGAGCUGAAGGAUGCUUGCCGGUGACCUGGGCCCACUGGUCGGACCCUCCAGGGACCAGGGAUCCAACAGGUGGGACACAAGUGGGUGCUUUAGGAGAUCAGAGGCUGGGGCACCGUGGUGAGGGGGCUAGGGACAGGGGGGUCCAGUGCAGGCUCAGUGUGUCUGGGGGACUUGGGAGCCCUUUGCGGGACAAGAUUGACAGGAAGGGAGGGACCUCAUGUCCCCUGUCACCUGUGCUCUUCAAACAACAGCCACAUGCUUUAACAUAUCCUUAGUGCAGCCACGCAGGGUUGGCCAGGACGGUAUCAUCGCCCUCCAUUUUACAGAUGAGGUUCCGGGAGGCAUGUGUUCAAGGCCAUGCAGCCAGUCAGGGCUGGGCAGCAUUUGAACACAGGUCAUUCUGGCUCCUAAGCCUGGGUUGGCGGAUCAGGCUCCAAAGAUGGAGUGGGGUAGUGACAAUGAUUUGAGGAAGGUGGCUUCAUUCUUGCAUUGCUGAGACCUUCUGCAGUCCCAGGGCUUUUGGGGACCACAGCAAAGGCGUCUGCUCUGCUUUUAGGAACAAAGGAUACUGGGGAGGGAAGUGUCUCAGCGUGGGCAACCUGGACGGCUUCUGGGGCCAUGGAAGGGGCUGCUGCUACUGGCCUGAAAGUCCUGGAGGGGCAGCCAGUAAGGAGGGGUCAGCCUUGGAGACACAGUGGUUGUAGGGGUGGUGGGCACAGCCUCCCCUCCACCUUCUCCCCGGCCUUGGCAGAACUCUGGAGUCCUCCGUGCCCAGGUCAAGUUCUCUCUCCCCCAAGCGCCUCUCCUCAGCGGGGGGGGGGGGGGGGGGCAGAUGAUGGCCUUUCCUGGAGCCCAAGUCCCUACUCCUGUACCUCGGGGCACUAUUCCCCCUCCUCCUGUCUCCUGGGACCCCUCGCUUCCUUUGCUCUCCAUCCUCAGAAGCCUCAGCAGCCCCUGUUUUUGUCUUUUCACUUCCCAGUUUCCUUUGCUUUCCCCCACCUGGUAGCCCAGCUCCUACGUGUCAUUCCUGAGGGCUUCCUGAGUGGGAGCCCCCCUCCCACUCACCACCUCACAGUAUUUGUUCCUGAGGAGCCGGUGGCUGACUCAGGGCCGGCAAGUAGCCACUCAGACCUUAGCUGGAUGGCCCCAGAGCUGCACCAGAAGGUACGAAUUUUCCUUCUCUCCGCAGGGCAGGUGUGAUUGUGGGGGUGAGUGGGCAUCAAAGUUAGGGCACUUCCUGACCUUGCCUUGCCUCCUGUUUGCCAGAAGAGAGCUUCUCCCUUGCAAAGACCCACCCGACGCUUGUCCCCUGAGUGCCUCUCUCGCCUUUGUAGCCACUGAAGCGUUCAUCCUCUCCCGCUCGGCUGAGGGAGCCCAGGGGGUGGGAGCGAGGAGGGGUGGCUGAAACCCCAGCUGAGCUGUCCAGGGCAGGAGCUGGCUUCCUAGAGCGGGGCUCAUGCUCUGGUGGCUCCAGGUUGCUAGUGACUUCCUUGGCUUUGGCAGAUCCCUUCUGAAGGCACCGUUUCCCGGAGAGCCUGUGGCCAAACCCGCGCCCCCAUCCCAACAAGGCAGCUAGGACAACUUUGGUUCCUUCCUCGCUCCAGUCGCUCGUAACCUCCCAUAGAGGAUGACAGGCUAGGGUGUGGGGCUGCAGGGAAAGUCCUGGGAAGACAGGCAGGAGACUUGGGAUGCAGUUCCACCUCUAUCACUAAGGUGCCCUGUGGCCCCAAGAGCCCACCACAGUGCCUGGUGGGGCGAGUCUUGACAAGCAAGCAUUUGCCAUGACUGAAUGGGGCUUUUUCCAGGCAUGCCCCUGCUCGGAGGUUCAGGGUCCCUGCAAGGGUUGAAUGGGUAAUCUCCCGGGACCCUUCAAAUUCUGAUGGCCGUGACUUGGCCCUCGAUUCCCCGGCGUGCCAGGACCACCAGGACCCCGACUCGAGAGGAAUGCCCUGCUGUUACCGGCCCUUGAGGAAGAGUUCCUGGAACCCAGUCCUGCCAUGAUAGGUCCCGUGUGUGAACAGAGUGAGAAAUAGGGUCUGAAAGAACCAUCCAGGAGUCACAGCAGGAAGAGGCCCCUGGAGUCUCAGCAGAAAUUUCCCGCUGCUUCUAAUGGGCCUCUCCAAAGUUCCCUUGUGAGCUGUGAGCUGCUAGCUGUUGGGAGGUUCCUUCCCUCCUUGAGCACAUGCCUCCCUCCUCCUACCCACCUUCCUUCCCUCUCUGCUCAGACCAGGUCCCCUCCACGGUGGGGUUUGUGACUUGGUCAGGGGAACUUUUAGAACGUAGUUGGGUUUAAAGUUUGCCAGGAGAUGGGGGAGGUGGGGAGGGGCUUGGAUGGGGAAAGGGGGAGCUGGUGGGGGUCACAGCAGGGAGCGAGCCUUCCCCUGGGUUUGGCUGGAUCACAGAAGACGCAGUUCAGGACUCAGAGAUAAAACCUGGCAACUCCUGAGGCCAUCUGGACCGCAACCAUGGGGUCGCGGCUUUGCCUUCCAGCUGAGUUUGCUGAGCAAACGGCAGCGGCUCUGGCAAGCUGGUUUGCAGUGGGGGUGACUGGAGGGGCCGGAGGGGCAGCUGUCACCCCCGUCCGCGGCUCCCUGGCCAACCCUGUGCCCAGUUGGCUCAGGCCAAGCCCUUCUUCCCAGAGGGAAGAACAAGAAAAGGAGUCUUGUCGUAAAUGCUCAGCUUUGCAAACGCACCCACAGGGCCCGAGUUGGGCGAGUUUCAACAGGUUUGGGGAACACUGUCUUGUCAGAUGCUUGCUGAGUUGCUCAAUUGCUAAUCCCAGGCUGAGGGAAGAAAGUCAAGCCAUAGCAGACAGCUGGGUGAUGACUGCCGCCUGAGUAAACCCCUCAGGCAGAGCCUGGUCUUCGGGCUCUGCCACGGAGGGUGAGGGAGAGAAAGGGCUUAGGCAGGAUCUGGGGGGGGGGGGGGCCGGUGCACCCGGGCAGGGGAGCUACGGGGGCCAGAGUAGCAGAUCUGCUGGGUGACAGACAGCCACACUCCCUGACACUCACGUUGGCCCAUCUUAGCAUCACCUGAGACUCAGGGGGUUACAGUGGAGCUUCCCUCCUACUCGAGGUCUCUAAGAUCGGGCACCAUUUGACAAAAACUUACAGCCCUCUGGAGCGAACAAGCCUUUCCCCUUUUCACCCAUCAGAUACUGACUGAGCACCUAAGCACACUUGACAUUCAGGUUUUAUAACCUCGUAGAAGUACAAAGCCACCCUACUGGACUGUAGUUACAUACAGUACGAAACUGUCCUAUAGGCAGGGGGAUAAAAGCCAGGAGAUGGGGACAUGCGAGAGCACGUCAAGCUCAAGUCCUGAUUCUGAUUUGCAGAAUGUCCUUGGGGAAGCAGCUGCACCUCUGGGCCUCUGAAGCGAGAUUGAAAAGAAUACAGACCCCUUGUUCCAAAAGUGGGAAGGGAGAGGUUACACGGUUCUAAUAGGGUCACGGGUGUGAAAGUGCUUCAUAAACCACUGAUUCUCAAUGGGGGGUAAUCUUGUCCCCCAAGGGGACAUUUGGCCAUGAGAAGCCAGGGAUGCUGCUGAACAUCAUACAACGCACAAGACGGGCC